This 736-nucleotide ribosomal RNA is filed under the name uncultured Wolbachia sp. Its description in RNAcentral is "bacterial SSU rRNA". It matches the Rfam family "Bacterial small subunit ribosomal RNA", at positions 173 to 946 of the family's 1533-position model. Lineage: Bacteria; Pseudomonadati; Pseudomonadota; Alphaproteobacteria; Rickettsiales; Anaplasmataceae. The record is from RNAcentral.
AUACGCCCUACGGGGGAAAAAUUUAUUGCUAUUAGAUGAGCCUAUAUUAGAUUAGUUAGUUGGUGAGGUAAAGGCUUACCAAGACAAUGAUCUAUAGCUGAUCUGAGAGGAUGAUCAGCCACACUGGAACUGAGAUACGGUCCAGACUCCUACGGGAGGCAGCAGUGGGGAAUAUUGGACAAUGGGCGAAAGCCUGAUCCAGCCAUGCCGCAUGAGUGAAGAAGGCCUUCGGGUUGUAAAGCUCUUUUAGUGAGGAAGAUAAUGACGGUACUCACAGAAGAAGUCCUGGCUAACUCCGUGCCAGCAGCCGCGGUAAUACGGAGAGGGCUAGCGUUAUUCGGAAUCAUUGGGCGUAAAGGGCGCGUAGGCGGGUUAGUAAGUUAAAAGUGAAAUCCCAAGGCUCAACCUUGGAACUGCUUUUAAAACUGCUAGUCUAGAGAUUGAAAGAGGAUAGAGGAAUUCCUAGUGUAGAGAUGAAAUUCGUAAAUAUUAGGAGGAACACCAGUGGCGAAGGCGUCUAUCUGGUUCAAAUCUGACGCUGAGGCGCGAAGGCGUGGGGAGCAAACAGGAUUAGAUACCCUGGUAGUCCACGCUGUAAACGAUGAAUGUUAAAUAUGGGAAGUUUACUUUCUGUAUUAUAGCUAACGCGUUAAACAUUCCGCCUGGGGACUACGGUCGCAAGAUUAAAACUCAAAGGAAUUGACGGGGNNCCGCACAAGCGGUGGAGCAUGUGGUU